UUUUCAAGCCCUGACUUUACG
Molecule: unclassified non-coding RNA, 21 nt
Filed under: Mus musculus (house mouse)
Lineage: Eukaryota; Metazoa; Chordata; Mammalia; Rodentia; Muridae
Description: oocyte_clustered_small_RNA11026
Source: RNAcentral